Molecule: ribosomal RNA, 530 nt
Filed under: Tistrella mobilis
Lineage: Bacteria; Pseudomonadati; Pseudomonadota; Alphaproteobacteria; Geminicoccales; Geminicoccaceae
Description: bacterial SSU rRNA
Rfam family: Bacterial small subunit ribosomal RNA
Source: RNAcentral
AUGGGCGAAAGCCUGAUCCAGCAAUGCCGCGUGAGUGAUGAAGGUCUUCGGAUUGUAAAGCUCUUUCGACGGGGAAGAUAAUGACGGUACCCGUAGAAGAAGCCCCGGCUAACUUCGUGCCAGCAGCCGCGGUAAUACGAAGGGGGCUAGCGUUGUUCGGAUUUACUGGGCGUAAAGCGUGCGUAGGCGGCUUAUCAAGUCAGAAGUGAAAGCCCGGGGCUCAACUCCGGAACUGCUUUUGAGACUGGUAGGCUGGAGUUCGGGAGAGGGUAGUGGAAUUCCCAGUGUAGAGGUGAAAUUCGUAGAUAUUGGGAAGAACACCGGUGGCGAAGGCGGCUGCCUGGCCCGAAACUGACGCUGAGGCACGAAAGCGUGGGGAGCAAACAGGAUUAGAUACCCUGGUAGUCCACGCCGUAAACGAUGAGUGCUGGACGUUGGGAUACUUAGUAUCGCAGUGUCGUAGCUAACGCGUUAAGCACUCCGCCUGGGGAGUACGGCCGCAAGGUUAAAACUCAAAGGAAUUGACGGGG